GCAUCUUAGCAACUGGGAAGUACUCUAAGUGCUGGGGGGAGGGGGGAGGGGGAGGGGCUGGUUACAUAGGUAGCUGGAAGCUUCCCGUGAAACAGACCCCGUUUGAUGAAGUGGGCUAUUUUAAGGGAAGAAAGCAGGCUCUGCAAUGACUACUUCUUGACUGCCGCAGCCAAGGCAUUCCUCUUCGAUAAACCUUAACUGAUGAUAGUAUGGCCUUUGCUGGAAUAGUCUGAGUGCCAUUUGUGAAUUCAACCAUCCAAUAAAUAUUUGUUGAGUCCCUGCUCCUUGUUCGGCCAGUGGUUCUCAACUUGGGCUCAACAUUAGACUCAGCUGGGGAGCUCUGAAAACAAACCCAGGCCUGGCCCCAUCAUCUGGAGCUUUAAAAGCUUCCCAGGUGAGUCUAAAGUACAGCCAGGUUGAGACCUCUGUGUCAGGUACCACCAGGAGAUGCUAGGGAUGCAGAUGUGACCAAGACUGACGCUUCUCAUCCUUCAUGUGUUCAGAUCCUUAAAAAAAUCAGGACAUCAUCCCAGAGGCACUGUCAGUCAGACCAGGUAUGCAGGAGGGCAGGUUCCAGGAUCACCCUCAAUAUUAUGCCUGCUGCUCUAACUGUGGGGAGCAUCCAUCUAGAUUUCCAGAAUAGUCUCAAUUUCAGGUCUUCUUUCUGUGAGCCAUAUAUCUUAAAUUCUUCAUUUGGAAAAGCUGGCCUCCAUAGCUAUAGCCAUGACUAUAACUCACAGAUGAUUUCGAUGAUUUCCACCAGGUGGCACAGUUCACCUGGUUUGUCGAGAUCAAGACCGAGCAGAAGGUGCCAAAGGUGAGAUCAUCAGGGACAGCAGUGACCAGUUUAGAACAUCUUUCUGCACAUUGUGGACUUGUCUGAUCCCAAGAAAACUGGAAAUUUGUGGAAAAUUUCAAUCAGGAACAUAAACUCAAUGUUCUGAUCAAUAAUGCAUAGUCAAUAAAAGAGAGCUCACAGAAGAUGGACUUGAAAAAAACUUGGCUCCCAAGACUGUGGGAAGCUCAAGGCUCAUCAUAGAAUUAUUUGGGAGGGCAGAGCAAGUUCAUCUCAGGUGGAGAGUGAGAUGAACUUGAAUAUGAAAACUGUAGCCAAGGGAACUUCCAGCAGAACUGAGGAAGGCACAACCAUGAGACAAGGAGAUGGAGCAACAAGGGCAUUCAGCCAGAACAGAGGACACCUGGAUUCUCGGUCCCGCUCUGUGCUAACAGGCCGACUGAUUUUACACCGGGCCAGUGGUUCUCAGAUUCAUCUUCCUCGACCAGCAGCAUCAGCAUCACUGGGGAACUUGGUAGAAAUGCACAUUCUUGGGCCUCACCCUCAAAUCUACUGAAUCCAAAACUCUGGGAUGGGGCAGAGAAAUCUGUGUUCUGAAAAGCCCUCCAGAUGACUCUGAUGCACACUCAAUUUGAGAACCAAGGAAUAGGGGAAAGCGGGAGCGGAGCUGAGCAUGCACAGCUGAUUGUUCCAGAUUGACUCAACUGAUUAUGUAAGCCCUCCACCUCCCUAGAUGGAGGGAGAAGGGGUUGAGAGAGGACAGCAUCACACUCUUUGCAUUCUGUCCACGAGGAAGGAAACAUCAGGAGAGGGGAAGAAACUUUCUCCUUGGUGGUGAGGGUGCAUUUUUUAAAACCAAUACCUGGAAGUGUGCUAUGAAAUGGUGCAGAUUUGGUUCAAGUAUUUCCAUCUUUGAUUUUGCUCCAAAUGUGGUAUCAUUGCCAAAAGUCCCAAAAGUACCCAAAUGUGGGGGCAUGCAGAGGUUUGCCUUCUAACUCGGUUGGAUGGCAAAGACUCCUAGAGUGGCUGCUCAGCAGAACUGGCUUCAUGAUUUGUGGGGCCCAGUGCCAAACAGCAAUGUGGGGCCCCUGUAUUCAAAAAUUAUUAAGAAUUUCAAUACAGUGACAACAGAGCAUUAAACCAAAUGCAGGGCCCUUAGAGACACAGCACCUGUGGGACUGCGCAGGAUGAAGCCAGCUUGGCUGCUUUCCCACCCACCUAUCCACCAUCCUGCAAAAUUCUCGUGGGGGUUUGCUGCGUGCUGGGCCCUCGUGAGUGUUGUAUAUAUGUCACUUAACCCUCAUGACCCUAUGAUGGAGGUGUUCCUACCUGUUCAUUACAGAUGAGAAAAGUAGAAUUGGGAGAGCUUGUAUCACUUGCCCAAGGUCAAGUGGAGGGGCCAGAAUUUGAACUCAAGUCUGCCUUCCUCCACAGCCCAAGUUCGUAACCAGGAUGCAAUUCUGCCAUUGCUUCCUCAAACUCAUCAUUGUAUCAUCGUGAAAUAAGUGCUAAGGGAGCACUGGGAGGGGAGUGACCAUACAUGCCAGAGGAGGAUGGGCUGGAGGUGCUACUUAGAGGGCCAUCUGGGACUCGUUGCGAGAACUGAGAAUGUGGACAGAUGUGAUAGCCUCUGGGGGGACUGACUCUUUGAUUACAUGGCUGGUUAUGUUGUACUUCUGUAUGCAUCUAGUCUGCUCCUAAGGACCUUGAUAUGCCUUCAUUUUCAUUUCCUAUUUGUGUUGGAAACAUUUUAUUGAUCUUCCCAACCUCUCUGAGAAGCAUAAUAACUCUCAUGCUUUGAUAUUUAUUCAUCCUCUCUGGAGUGAGAGACACAGCACAAUAUACAAAGAAGCAUGUCGGUGACGGAGGGGGCAGCUUAAUGUGUCUCUGCUUCACAGAUGAGGAGACACAGAGAGGUUAAAAUAUUGUCAUUCUUAAGCAGGUCUAGAGCCAAAUGAACAACCCAGACCUCUGUCUGAGUCCUAGGAAAUUGCUGGCUGCCGUUCUAAUAUGAAACACGUUUUCCUGGCCCGAUUAUGUAAUGUGGGAUAGGUUGUUUUCUGUUUUCUAAGAUUCAGUUGAGUCUUUAGAAACAUUUCCAAUAAUUCCCAACCAAACCUCAGUAGGUUCCAGACACUCAGAGGACGGGACAGACACCAGUAUUUGCAGAAUUUAUCACCAGAUCCUAGGGGUUUGGAAGCUGGAGAUUAGUUAAAUGUGAGAUAUCGUCAGAGCCCAUGCCUGCACAUGGCUGUUUGUGGAGAUAUCAUAGUAUAUGAAUUAGAUGAAGUUUGGA
Molecule: long non-coding RNA, 3092 nt
Organism: Equus caballus (horse)
Lineage: Eukaryota; Metazoa; Chordata; Mammalia; Perissodactyla; Equidae
Source: Ensembl